RNAcentral lists this transfer RNA (66 nucleotides) under Sphaerodactylus townsendi. RNAcentral's name for it is "tRNA-Ala". The record is from RNAcentral. Lineage: Eukaryota; Metazoa; Chordata; Lepidosauria; Squamata; Sphaerodactylidae.
GGGCUCAGUGGUAGAUCAUCUUCUCGGCAUGUAGAAAGGUCCCAGGUUCGAUCCCUGGCAUCUCCC